This 581-nucleotide ribosomal RNA is filed under the name uncultured bacterium. Its description in RNAcentral is "bacterial SSU rRNA". It matches the Rfam family "Bacterial small subunit ribosomal RNA", at positions 331 to 929 of the family's 1533-position model. The record is from RNAcentral.
CCAGACUCCUACGGGAGGCAGCAGUGGGGAAUAUUGGACAAUGGACCAAGAGUCUGAUCCAGCAAUUCUGUGUGCACGAUGAAGUUUUUCGGAAUGUAAAGUGCUUUCAGUUGGGAAGAAAGAAAUGACGGUACCAACAGAAGAAGUGACGGCUAAAUACGUGCCAGCAGCCGCGGUAAUACGUAUGUCACGAGCGUUAUCCGGAUUUAUUGGGCGUAAAGCGCGUCUAGGUGGUUAUAUAAGUCUGAUGUGAAAAUGCAGGGCUCAACUCUGCAUUGCGUUGGAAACUGUAUAACUAGAGUACUGGAGAGGUAAGCGGAACUACAAGUGUAGAGGUGAAAUUCGUAGAUAUUUGUAGGAAUGCCGAUGGGGAAGCCAGCUUACUGGACAGAUACUGACGCUGAAGCGCGAAAGCGUGGGUAGCAAACAGGAUUAGAUACCCUGGUAGUCCACGCCGUAAACGAUGAUUACUAGGUGUUGGGGGUCGAACCUCAGCGCCCAAGCAAACGCGAUAAGUAAUCCGCCUGGGGAGUACGUACGCAAGUAUGAAACUCAAAGGAAUUGACGGGGGCCCGCACAAG